RNAcentral lists this ribosomal RNA (32 nucleotides) under Phoma sp. Its description in RNAcentral is "partial 28S ribosomal RNA". The record is from RNAcentral. Lineage: Eukaryota; Fungi; Ascomycota; Dothideomycetes; Pleosporales; Didymellaceae.
ACUCUUGACCUCGGAUCAGGUAGGGAUACCCG